UUUCCGUAGGUGAACCCGCGGAAGGAUCAUUAACACGAACAAAAUGUUCCAAAACCUUUUUGGAUCAACGCCAACCUUUGAAAAGGCGAACCUAGUUGUAUUUUUCUCCUUUUUCUAUUUCGUUUUUCUCAAACGCAACUUCUCAUGGAAAUUGACUAGAAUCGUGUGAUUUGUUCCAAUCCUAUCACCUCUUUCUCCUCUCCUCUCCUCGUGAGAUGAGAUGGGAUGUGAGAUGGGAGAUGGGGGGUGGGUUUGGAACUAACCAUUCCUAACGCUAAAACAACUCUUAACAACGGAUAUCUUGGCUCUC
Molecule: unclassified non-coding RNA, 310 nt
Filed under: plant metagenome
Description: partial contains small subunit ribosomal RNA, internal transcribed spacer 1, and 5.8S ribosomal RNA
Source: RNAcentral